Molecule: ribosomal RNA, 553 nt
Filed under: Cryptococcus sp. (in: basidiomycete fungi)
Lineage: Eukaryota; Fungi; Basidiomycota; Tremellomycetes; Tremellales; Cryptococcaceae
Description: eukaryotic LSU rRNA
Rfam family: 5.8S ribosomal RNA (bases 129-282)
Source: RNAcentral
CUAUCAUAUCCAUAACACCUGUGCACUUGUUGGAUGUUCUAAAGACGUAGGCUUAAAGCUGAAGUCAAUAGUCAUCCACUUACACUAAACAAUAAUGUAACAAAUGUAGUCUUAUUAUAACAUAAUAAAACUUUCAACAACGGAUCUCUUGGCUCUCGCAUCGAUGAAGAACGCAGCGAAAUGCGAUAAGUAAUGUGAAUUGCAGAAUUCAGUGAAUCAUCGAAUCUUUGAACGCACCUUGCGCUCCUUGGUAUUCCGAGGAGCAUGCCUGUUUGAGUGUCAUGAAAACCCUCAACCUUAGAUUGGUUAUUUGACCUUUCUUUGGCUUGGAUUUGGACGUUUGCCGAUGUCAAGUCGGCUCGUCUUAAAAGUAAUAGCUGGAUCUGUCUCGCGACAUGGUUUGACUUGGCGUAAUAAGUAUUUCGCUAAGGACAUCUUCGGAUGGCCCUGUUGCAGGACUAAAGACCGCUUUCUAAUCCAUUGAUCUUCGGAUUAAUAUUCAUAACAUCUGGCCUCAAAUCAGGUAGGACUACCCGCUGAACUUAAGCAUAUC